AAGGUUUGAUCAUGGCUCAGAUUGAACGCUGGCGGCAGGCCUAAAUACAUGCAGUCGAGCGGAUGAAGGACGCUCCUGGAUUCAGCGGCGGACGGGUGUAAUGAGAUCUGCCUGGUAGUGGGGAUAACGUCCGGAAACGGCGCUAAUACCGCAUACGUCCUGAGGGAAAAGUGGGAUCUUCGGACCUCACGCUAUCGAUGAGCCUAGGUCGGAUUAGCUGGUUGGUGGUAAAGGCCUACCAAGGCGACGAUCCGUAACUGGUCUGAGAUGAUGACAUCACACUGGAACUGAGACACGGUCCAGACUCCUACGGGGAGGCAGCAGUGGGAAUAUUGGACAAUGGGCGAAAGCCUGAUCCAGCCAUGCCGCGUGUGUGGAAGGUCUUCGGAUAUGUAGCACUUUGCGUUGGGAGGAAGGCAGUAAGUUAAUACCUUGUUGUUUGACGUUAACAGAAUAAGCACCGGCUAACUUCGUACCAGCAGCCGCGGUAAUACGAAGGGUGCAGCGUUAAUCGGAACUGGGCGUAAAGCGCGUAGGUGGUUCAUAAAUGUUGGAUGUGAAACAACCUGGGAACUUCAUCCAAAACUACUGAAAUAGAGUACGGUAGAGGGGGUGGAAUUUCCUGUGUAGCGGUGAAAUGCGUAGAUUAUAGGAAGAACACCAAUGGCGAAGCGACCACCUGGACUGAUGUCUGACACUGAGGUGCGAGCGUGGGAGCAAACAGGAUUAGAUACCUGGUAGCCGCACCGUAAACGAUGUCGACGUUGGGAUCCUUGAGAUCUUAGUGGCGCAGCUAACGCGAUAAGUCGACCGCACCUGGGGAGUACGGCCGCAAGGUAAAACUCAAUAAUUGACUGAGGCCCGCACAAGCGGUGGAGCGUGGUUUAAUUCAGGCAACGCGAAGAACCUACCUAUUGACAUGCUGAGAACUUUCCAGAGAUGGAUUGGUGCCUUCGGGAACUCAGACACAGGUGCUGCAUGGCUGUCGUCAGCUCGUGUCGUGAGAUGUUAAGUCCGUAACGAGCGCAACCCUUGUCCUUAGUUACCAGCACCUCGGUGGGCACUCUAAGGAGACUGCCGACCAACCGGAGGAAGGUGGGGAUGACGUCAAGUCAUCAUGGCCCUUGGCCAGGGCUACACGUGCUACAAUGGUCGGCGUAAAGGGUGCCAAGCCGCGAGGCUAAUCCCAUAAAACCGUCAGUCCGGAUCAUGUCUGCAACUCGACUGCGUGAAGUCGGAAUCGCUAGUAAUCGUGAAUCAGAAUGUCGGUGAAUACGUUCCCGGGCCAUACACACCGCCCGUCACACCAUAGAGUGGGUUGCUCCAGAAGUAGCUAAGUCUAACCGCAAGGGGACGGUUACCACGGAGUGAUUCUGACUGGGGUGAAGUCGAAACAAGGUAGCCGUAGAAGGGAACCUGCAGCUG
Molecule: ribosomal RNA, 1425 nt
Filed under: metagenome
Description: bacterial SSU rRNA
Rfam family: Bacterial small subunit ribosomal RNA
Source: RNAcentral